CGAACGCNGGCGGCGUGCUUAACACAUGCAAGUUGAACGGGCAGAUAUGGAAGCUUGCUGAAGUAUCUGUUAGUAGCGGACGGGUGAGUAAUGCAUGAGGAGCUGUCAUAGGGAGGGGGACAACAGUUGGAAACGGCUGCUAAUACCCCGUAUGCCGGAAGGUGAAAGGGAGCGAUCCGCCCGAUGAGGUACUCAUGUCCUAUCAGCUGGUUGGUGGGGUAACGGCCUACCAAGGCGACGACGGGUAGCCGGCCUGAGAGGGUGAACGGCCACACUGGAACUGAGAUACGGUCCAGACUCCUACGGGAGGCAGCAGUGGGGAAUAUUGGGCAAUGGGGGGAACCCUGACCCAGCGACGCCGCGUGAGGGAAGACGGCCUUCGGGUUGUAAACCUCUUUUGUACGGGAAGAAGGAAGUGACGGUACUGUACGAAUAAGUCCCGGCUAACUACGUGCCAGCAGCCGCGGUAAUACGUAGGGGACGAGCGUUGUCCGGAAUUACUGGGCGUAAAGGGCGCGUAGGCUGUGCUGCAAGUCAGCUGUGAAAUAUCUGGGCUUAACCUGGAUAUGCGGAUGAGACUGCAGUGCUGGAGUGCUGUAGAGGCAAGUGGAAUUCCCAGUGUAGCGGUGAAAUGCGUAGAUAUUGGGAAGAACACCGGUGGCGAAGGCGACUUGCUGGGCAGCAACUGACGCUGAGGCGCGAAAGCCAGGGGAGCGAACGGGAUUAGAUACCCCGGUAGUCCUGGCCGUAAACGAUGAAUGCUAGGUGUGGGUGUAGAGAUACAUUCGUGCCGGANUUAACGCGAUAAGCAUUCCGCCUGGGGAGUACGGUCGCAAGA
RNAcentral lists this ribosomal RNA (838 nucleotides) under uncultured Synergistes sp. RNAcentral's name for it is "bacterial SSU rRNA". It matches the Rfam family "Bacterial small subunit ribosomal RNA", at positions 30 to 893 of the family's 1533-position model. The record is from RNAcentral. Lineage: Bacteria; Thermotogati; Synergistota; Synergistia; Synergistales; Synergistaceae.